AACGAACGCUGGCGGCAUGCCUAACACAUGCAAGUCGAACGAUAAGCCACCUUAGGGUGGUGGACAGUGGCGCACGGGUGAGUAACACGUAAAGAAUUUGCCCUCUAGACUGGGACAACUAACCGAAAGGUUAGCUAAUACCGGAUAUUAUGAGACCUUGGCAUCAAGGACUUAUGAAAGCUAUAUGCGCUAGAGGAGAACUUUGCGUCCCAUUAGCUAGUUGGUAGGGUAAUGGCCUACCAAGGCAACGAUGGGUAGCCGGCCUGAGAGGGUGAACGGCCACAAGGGGACUGAGACGCGGCCCUU
Molecule: ribosomal RNA, 306 nt
Filed under: uncultured Psychrilyobacter sp.
Lineage: Bacteria; Fusobacteriati; Fusobacteriota; Fusobacteriia; Fusobacteriales; Fusobacteriaceae
Description: bacterial SSU rRNA
Rfam family: Bacterial small subunit ribosomal RNA
Source: RNAcentral